CACCUGCACACCCCCUUCUCAAGUUGUGUAUCUAUGCCACAUAUUCAUUUUUUGAGACUGAAAUUGCUUUAACAUCUUUGACUUAUUAUAGGGUAUUUUGGUGAUUCCUUUAGUAAUCUCAAAAACAAGGUAAGUAAAUAAUUUUGUGUACAAUAUGUAAUUAUCCUGAGGAACCCGUUUCCAUAAAGUAGGACUGAAAAGGUUCUGCAUUUACAAAAAAUGAAUGCAUUUUCAUAUGGAUAUGUGGCGGACAGAUGAAUGAAUUUUUUGCCUUAAACAUUUCUUGGUGCAUGGGGUGCAGGCAGGCCAUAACCCCGAACAAGCCAUCUGUCCCUGGCGGAAACAGGACUGGGCUGCUGCGACCCCCAAGAUGGUCUCCCUGCGACCACCCGGAACACACCGAGCCUGCACUGAACGAGACCACAGUCGGGCAGAGACUUUGGGAUCCGUUUUUAGCACAACUUCUAUAAAACUUGCUUGGCAUGAGUGGCUAAAUUUGCUGAAGCCUUAGGCCGCACUCCCUAGUUUGGUGAGAAAGGGCCCCAGAGUUGGUGCAGGCGGGAACGAUAAGGGAGUUACCAGCAAUUUGCAUUCCUGUGCACUGCUGAAACAGUGCUAAUUGCUGGAGUUACCACCUCUUUGUCAAGACCUUGAGAGAUGAUGGUGGGACCCGAGGAAGGAAGACACACCUAUAGGAUGGAAGACACACCUGUCGGCAGAAACUGCAACAGAAAAGAUAAGGGAGAAAAGAAACAGCCUGCCUAGGAACAACGAUGAGAUCCAAUAAGGAGCAGGAGACCCCAGACUCAAAAAUUACUAUUGGUCUGAACUACCACGUGGGGGUGGGAAACUUAAUUUGAAAAAGCUAUAAUUGCCCAGGGAUCUCUUUGUUCAGGGUCCCUCUUUGGAGGUACCCAACUCGAGCUGUAACCACUGCACGCGUGUCAUUCUGAGCUAACCUAGGGUCGGACCCAACUCGAGUUGUAAUUACUGCACGCGCACCACCAAAACUUACACCCACGGUGAAGAGGACCCACCUACCACCAGACGGGAGCCCCCCCCCCCACUGCCGAGACUCCCAAAGGAAGAGGACCAACAGGACGCCGCUGGAUCCACGGGUCUGCAGACCUUUGACGAAAGAUGUUUUGAAACACCAAUGAGGAUGAGAUAAACAUGAGAUGAGGCUAAACUGUGUUUCCAUGGCCAUCUUGCCUAAAUGGGGUAUCCCAGGGAUCAAUACUGAGUCCAGUAUUAUUUAACUUCUUCAUCAAUGACCUGGAUGAUGGGACCGAAUGCACCCUCAGCAAGUUUGCAAAUGAUACAAAACUGGGAGGAGUGGCUGAGACACCAGAGGGCUGUGCUGCCAUCCAGAGGGACCUAGACAGGCUGGAAAGGUGGGCAGAGAGGAACCUCAUGCAGUUCAACAAAGGGAAGUGCCAAGUCCUUCACCUGGGGAGGAAUAACCCCAUGCACCAGUACAGGCUGGGGGCUGACCUGCUGGAAAGCAGCUCUGCAGAGAAGGACCUAGGGGUCCUGGUGGACACCAAGUUGACCAUGGGCCAGCAACAUGCCCUUGUGGCCAAGAAGGCCAAUGGCAUCCUGGGCUGGAUUAGGCAGACUGUUGCCAGCAGGUGGAGGGAGGUGAUCCUCCCCCUCUCCUCAGCCCUGGUGAGGCCACACCUGGAGUGCUGUGUCCAGUUCUGGGCUCCCCAGUACAAGAGAGACAUGGAGCUACUGGAGCAAGUCCAGUGAAGGGCCACUAAGAUGAUUAAGGGACUGGAGCAUCUCUCCUAUGAGGAGAGGUUGAGAGAGCUGGGCCUGUUCAGCCUGGAGAAGAGAAGACUGAAGGGGGAUCUUAUCAAGGUGUAUUAAUAUCUGAACGGAGGGUGCAAAGAGGAUGUGGCCAGACUCUUCAGUGGUGCCUAGGGACAAGAUGAGAGGCAACGGGCACAAACUGAAACACAGGCAUUUCUGUCUGAAUAUGGGGAAAAGCUUCUUUACUGUGAGGGUGACAGAGCACUGGACCAGGUUGCCCAGAGAGGUUGUGGAGUCUCCAUCCUUGGAGAUAUUCAGAAGCUGUCUGGCCAGGGUCCUGGGCAACGUGCUCUAGGUGACCCUGCUUGAGCAGGGGGGUCAGACUAGAUGAUCUCCAGAGGUCCCUUCCAACCUCAACCCUUCUGUGCUACCCCUUCAGUUCCCUUUUCUGAGCUUAUAAACUCCUGAUUUACCAGAGAGAGGGGAAAUGCUCUUACCCUACUUGAGUGCUCCAGUAGUGCAACAAUGUUGACUUCUUUUUGGGCUUUUUAUUCCAAUUCCUGGAUCUUCACUUCUUCAAAAGUGUCUAGAUCAACAAAUAGGAUAAAGGAGUCUGCUGUUUAUAUGGGUACAGCACAAGCAUUAGUAGUUCUUAGGUAAAAUUGUAUUUUAAGUUGAUAUAUUACAAAAUUCCAGGUGGGCUACUGCAAAAUGAAUAUUUUCUUUAAAAGAUUGAUGGUAGAAUUCUUGAGAUUCCUUGUAAAGUUAUGGGUUGUAAUGACAGCUAUGUAAGAUUUUGCAGAGAAAUGUAUUUGGCUGUUUACUGGUGGCCACCCUUUUGGAUAUUGCUUAGGUGAGGUGUUGCUAUUCAAUGGGAAACACUAAGCAUCAUUAUCCACCUGUUAUCACCUCUUUCUUACUAUGGAAUUUUCCUUUGCUACUUUAGUUUUCUUCCUCCUUAUGUCUCUCCUUUUAUGUUUAUCCUAAUAAGUGUAUGAGUCUGACAAAACAGUUAUGAUAGUUUGAUAUGACCACAUCUCUCUAUGAAGUCUCUUUUGUGCUAUACAGUCUAAUUGUGCUCUAGGCGUAUUAAAUUGUAUUUCUGGUGACAGACCUGCCCAAGAAAGGUGCUGGACACUUCACGUAAAUGUCAUAGAGAUUCAUCAAGAUACCACCCAGGGCUAUAAAUUAUGACCGUCCCUCACCUUCUGGCUCUCCUUGGAACAUGGCUUUAUAUACACAGGAGCAUGCAAGGACAUAACUUAAGAGCUUAUAAACCUUCUAGUUGAACACAAAAGAGAAGUGCUUCUUUGAACAAGAAGGCUUAGACAAUGGCUGGAUUCAAUAAGGUCUACUUGAGAAGAAAGAAAGAAGACAGGAGGGACUCUACUUAAUGGAAAUAUUGACAAAUCUUUGAUUCACAGAAGGGCUGAGGUCUGACUAGGGAAGUGUGGCUCAAAGGGCUUCUGAUAUUUUUCAAGGACCUGUAACUUUAAUAACACAAUAAUUAUGGAUAAGAAAUCCAUUGUUACGCCUAAGUUACUUUCUCAUCUGCUGUGCCAUCCAUGAAAGGAUUAACUGAGAAGCUCACAGAUUAUAGCUUCUAAGACUUUCAGAGGGGAUCAUGUAUAGUGUUAGAGGAAGGGGCCAGAUAUGCAGGAGAUCUGAAUCAAAAUUUCAGGAUUAAAGACAUCUGGGAUAUGGAUUCAUAGAUGCCAAUGAAUGGUAUUAGACAACGCAUCUUAGUCUGGAAUAUAUUUAGUUGAUCUGCUAAAAACACUGUCCAGUUCUGACACAGGUUUAGUUGGCUCACAAAGUUGAGAUAAAGUCUUGGUCCACCUAACACAGACUAAUGACUGUUAAAAAUAAUAUUUGGCACGUAUGUAAGAAGAUUUACUUUUUCCAACAUCCCUGUGAACUAGUAACCAGAAAUGUAGUUAAAAACAAAGUUUAAACAGCCUGCCAUUGAUAAAAGCUAGCCAAGUUUUGAGUGAUGGAUGAGAUCAUUUGCCAAGCCCGUGUUUCUCCAGCAGCCAGGCUGCAAACAAAGCUAGUGUUAGAAACCAAAAUUUUAUUUUCUCUCUGAUUUUCUUUUCCUGUAGAGUGAACUUUUCUUGUUUCAUCUUGAAGAUAACAUAAUCAUACUUUAAUAACAUUAACAAUAACAGCCUCCCCCCCCCCCCGGACAUUUAAUGCACCUUUCAUACCAUUUAUUAUUGUGAAAGGUUCAGACAGAAGUUUUCUUUAUUAAGAAAAUAUCUGAGUAUAGCAGAAGUAAGGGAAAGGUUAUAAAGAAAAUAAUUAUAUUUAAAUUAUUAAUACUUUAAAAUAUUUGAACUAUUCUUUCUUUUUUUCUGUUAAAAUAUUUUUAAUGGUCAUUUGUACAAUUAGAAUCACCCAGAUAAUCUAACAGAAAACCUUGCACUGCAUUUAACUAUUUCAUGCUCUAACAGUGAACAAAGGCUUCAUUAACAUCUUUUCUAUUGUCGGGUUCGCUUCUUUACAACAGCAUAGUAAAGCAGCAUAGAGGGUGCUGAAGCAUAGUCUGGUGGUUGAAGGAGCAUCACAGCUGGAGUCUCUGCAGAGAUCUGCAGCUGAACACAGAGGAUGAGCUCUGACUUGCAGUGUGAGCACAGCUAAGUCCUAGGCUGCUUCAUAUAUGAGGGAGGCUGGGUGGGCGGAAGGUGGUUGGCCCUUAGUUGGAGAUGAGGGAGACUGCGGCAGUCUGGGUGCUGCUGGGUGGAGGGAGCUGGAGGUUGUUUUUGUGAGGCUGAAGCUGGGUGCAGGUGAUGUGUGUGCUGAGCAGUGGGAAUUUGUGUGAUGUGCCAAGCAAUUAGGUAUCUUGGACUACAAAUGUUCAUAAUGUGUACCUGCAUACAUACCUGAUGUCUAUAUGUAUAAACAUGUGAUGGGGGGGGGGUGUUAAAAAAAACAGCCAGACUCCUCUAAGUGGUAUCCAGUGACAGGACAAUAGGUAAUGGUCACAAAUUGUAAUACAAUAAAUUUCAUUUAAACAUAAGAAAAAACUUGUUUACUGUAAGGGCGAUCAAACACUGGAACAGGUUGUCCAGAGAGGUUGUGGCGUCUCCAUCCAUGGAGAUAUGGAAAACCCAACUGGACAUGGUUCUGGGCAACCUGCUCUUGCUGACCCUGCUUUGAGCAGGGAGGUUGGAACAGAUGAUCUCCAAAGGUCCCUUCCAACCCCAGUCAUUCUGUGAACAAUACAACAGAUUAUGCCAUAGGGACAACUGGCCUUUGAUGCAUCUUACCAAGAGGAACUGUAUGCAUGGAUUUGUCCUUAAAUAACUUCCUAUGGUGGCACUUAAAAGAAAAGUUGACUACAAUAUUCAUUGAUAGACUGGACCUACUUAUUUGUUCCAGAGAAACUGUAGGCAAUGCGGUUUUUGAAUCAUAUAAAGCAUUUAGGUAGGGAAGGCAGAGAGAUGAAAUAAAUUAACUUAGGGGGAAAAAAAGAUAUUUUCACAUGUAUAUAAAUACAAAACAAAGGUUUAAACAGUAAGCUUUAUUGAACAUUAAUUCCUUAGAGAACAAAAACAAAGCAUGUGACAUCCACAUAUAUGCUUAUAAACACUUCUAUAAAAUUGAGACUGACGUUUUGGAAUUAGGACCUCAGAAUCAUACUUAUAGUUCACCAGCAUUUUAUUGUUCUAUGACUGUGUCAGCCAGUUCAAGUAACCUAUAAUGAAAUUCAUCAAACAAGGUAAUUCGAAAAUAUAGAAAGUCUAAGUAUUCUUUUAUUCAUCUUUCCUUAUUGUCAGCUGAGAUCUUAUUCUCUCAUUGUUGGUGCUAGUCAAUAAUUUUGGUGAAUAUUGAUACAAAAACAGUAUUUAAUAUUUUGGCUUUCUUGGCAUAAUCUGUUGAUCAUUUUCCCCCUCUGCUGAGCAACGGACCAAUGCUUUUUGUAGUCUUCCUAUUACAGUGUACUAACAAUAGGACAUAGUUUCUUUUCAUCCUCAGCUAGCUGCUGCUGAGACCUCUAUAACAUGAGAACCUUUUAAUACAGAAGAGCUUUAGCAGCACCCAUCUUGAAUAAAUACCUGUAAAUGCUGUAAAGCAUCUCAUUGUUCUUUUUAAGAAUAUAAGAGACUAGAUUAUGUCCCACUUCUCCAAACAGCUCAAGUAUAAAACCCUAUUGACUUAGUUUCAGUAUCAAGGUUUUAAGAGAAUAAACUUUAUAUCACUUAUUUGUACUUGAUCUAUAAUCAAAAAUUGGUUUUGCACCAUUUUUAUUAGAAGACAACAAUAAGAGUUGAAUUGAUCCUCUCUAAUUUAGGUCUCUCAAAAUCAGAUGUCUUAAAUCUGAGCUAGUCACCAUAGUUUCUUUUUGGUCAAUAAAGAGACAGUGAUUCAGCUCAUCCUGAAAUAGGUGGGAAGAAUUAACCUUAGAAGGUACUCACAUCUUUACAUUGCCUUUAAAGGGAGUCUUACUCAGAUUAUAUGUCUAAGUUUUAGAUGUCUAAAAUUAGAUGAGCUUGUUCCCACCUUAUAUGCCUUCCUUUCUUUUGUUAGUAUUAGUGAAGCUGCAAGAAUUGAGGGAGGGGGCUGAUUUACCUAAUAUAUAUACUUUUCUUGUUCAUCCUGUUGGCAACGCAAGUCAGAUUCAUUUUUGUGCACAAGAAAUAUUCUACCUCAAAGUGAACUGGAAGAAAAAAAUGGAGGAGGGGAAUUCUCUUAUGUUGUUUUUUACUUGCGUGCUUAACCAUGUAAGCAAACAAGUUACACAUCUGUUUUCACUGCCAUCUUUAAAAGGGGGAUAAUUAUGAGCAUCAUUUACCUUUUAAAUACUUUGUUCUUUUUGUAAGUAGAAAUUAUUUUCUUUUUAAUCAAUUGCAGUUAGCAUUUUUCCAGACAUUCACACAGUACUGAUGAUUAAGAUACCAGAAUGGUUCCUAUUGUAUUAAUCAGUUCUUUAUUUUUAUUAUUGAAACUGGAAGUAAUGGAGCUAGGUUCAGAAACAUUUUAAGCAAGUACUCUCUCAAGUUUGUUCCUUAAUUUUUCAUUUAUAGCCUUUAUCUCCAUAUAGUUAGGAUGAUUUUUUUUAAGACAUGUUUUUCAUUAUGUCAACCACUACUCCCCCCCUCCCCCCAUUCAGUAUCUUCCACAGAUUGAAUUAACUUUUCUUUGCUCUAACACUUAAUAGUUGCAUCACAGAGCAGUAAGGGCCAGCUGUUGCCUAAGGGAGGGGGAGCCCAGCAUGAUACCAAGGCCAGCAGGGCAGGGACCUGGCCAGCCAGGCCCCAGCCCUACAGUACCCAAGCAAGGCAAGUAGGACAGGCCCAGGGAUGGCAGCCAGGGUCAACCAAGAGUCCAGGUCAUCAGGCAAGUUUGAGACAAUGAGGCAGACCCAAGGUCAAGCCAGAAAGUCAAUCCACAGGUCAGGAUCAGAUCUGGUGACAGUAACCAGGGUCAGCCACAAUCCAGUGAUUGUCAGGCAGGUCCAUAAUGACAAGACAGGUCUGAGGUCAAGCUGGCAAGUCAGUCCACAGGUCAGGAUCUAUGGCACAGGCACAUCUAGAGCCCAGUACUCCUACAACAUAGCUCAGGCAAGGAUGUGUGGCCCAAGCCUGAGCUUAAAUGGGGCUCCUGGGCCCAUGGGCAGAUGGUGUGGGUGGAGGCUCCAGGUGAGGCUGGUCAGGGCCAUUAAGGCCUAUUGGUACACUCAGGGCCCUGACAAGUUGAUAUUCAUUUUAAGCACCUAUUCCAAACUUUGGUCCCCUUUCAACCUUCCUGAAAGGAUUCAUUAACACAAAAUUCAACAGACUUUCAGAAGAGGGAUUACUUACUUGUAUCUGAUUUUCUUGGGGCUGUGUGAUCUAUGCAAACAUUCACACUGUGGCAAUCAGUAGCAGAAGAAUUUUUUACCCUCACAGUGCACAUACAGUGCUCCCUGAGGCACUCACCUUGCCUUCAUGCAUAGUCCCCAAAACCAGGAAAAGUGCACUCCUCCCUCCCCCUUGCUCUCAAUCACUGAAUUCUUGGAAUCAGAUCAGGGAUUCUGAAAGAAAGAAGAAUGUGACUUGUGAAUGCACGUAAAGAAAACACAUCACAUAGAUGCCAGCACUUGAUGAUGCAGGUAAGGAUAGUAAGAAGACUUUUUAUUAAUGAAUUUAAGAACUCUUAAAGAAUGAAAGGCUGCUUACAAGUCUUAGGCAUUGUGGAGCUCCUCCUCCAUGCAAGAAUAAAACAAUUGAGAAUUUCUGAGAUUCCUGACUCAUGCUUGUAAUCCAUUGGGAAGCCAAAGGGCUAUAACUAAAAACUGCUCAAGUACUGCAGCUGUAGUAAGCUACAGGUAAAUGUAUUAGUAGAGUCAAGGGAUGCAUAGGGAAGAGUUCUCACUGGUUUGAGCAAUGCCUUAUCUGUAUGAAAUUCCUUUGGUAAAAUCCUGAAAAGCCAGAGGGUCAAAUUGUUACCCAAAGGAGUUGCUAGUCAGAUACAAGCUACAUCCAACUUAGUUUUAUUGAGAGUAGCUGAUCAAAAUAGAGGGGAGAAACGUGCAGAAUUCAGGAGGAAAAUGCUCAGAGACACACGUGUAAAUGCACACACACACACACAGUCAUGCUUAUACCAGUCCUGGGUGCUCAGCUGGCUGGACCAAAGGAUAUUCAGAGAGCUGUCGGGGUUCCUGAAGGAGACUAUGUCCUACAGCUUUGAUUCAGCAUGUGUAGCAAGACAAAUCCUGUGGCUGCUCCUGGCCUCUGCCCUUUUAUAGUUUCCAGGUCACCAGGCUGAGUCCCUGCUGGA
Long non-coding RNA from Dromaius novaehollandiae (emu), 8517 nucleotides. RefSeq lists it as uncharacterized. Lineage: Eukaryota; Metazoa; Chordata; Aves; Casuariiformes; Dromaiidae. The record is from RefSeq and is a predicted model, not a curated record. The transcript is spliced from 3 exons.